ACGAACGCUGGCGGCGUGCCUAAUACAUGCCAGUAGAACGCUGAAGGAGGAGCUUGCUUCUCUGGAUGAGUUGCGAACGGGUGAGUAACGCGUAGGUAACCUGCCUGGUAGCGGGGGAUAACUAUUGGAAACGAUAGCUAAUACCGCAUAAUAGUAGAUGUUGCAUGACAUUUGCUUAAAAGGUGCAAUUGCAUCACUACCAGAUGGACCUGCGUUGUAUUAGCUAGUUGGUGGGGUAACGGCUCACCAAGGCGACGAUACAUAGCCGACCUGAGAGGGUGAUCGGCCACACUGGGACUGAGACACGGCCCAGACUCCUACGGGAGGCAGCAGUAGGGAAUCUUCGGCAAUGGACGGAAGUCUGACCGAGCAACGCCGCGUGAGUGAAGAAGGGUUUCGGAUCGUAAAGCUCUGUUGUAAGAGAAGAACGAGUGUGAGAGUGGAAAGUUCACACUGUGACGGUAUCUUACCAGAAAGGGACGGCUAACUACGUG
Molecule: ribosomal RNA, 494 nt
Filed under: uncultured bacterium
Lineage: Bacteria
Description: partial 16S ribosomal RNA
Rfam family: Bacterial small subunit ribosomal RNA
Source: RNAcentral